GGGGGCUCUCCAAGGCAAGGGAGAGGAAGAGGCCGAGGCAGGAGGCGGCCGUGAACAACAGGCGGAAGCUGCAGCGGCAGCAGAUCAGCUGCCGCCGCGACCGCUCCUUCUCGCAGGAGCGCUUCCGCAGCUACAGCUGCGUGCUAACUUCCUUCGUCAAACCUUGCAGCGGCCUGUCUGGCUUCCUAUGAUAUAGAAGAGUUUGAUACCCACGAUCCUUAAGGAGGACAGCUUGCUACUAGCUUACUUGAGGAAAAUUAUGAGAUAGUUGCAGCACGUGGCAUAGCUUUUUUUCUCUAUCGCCAUCCGGAGUGUGUGCUGCUUUUAGUACAUGACAACUCGGAUACCAUUGUUGUGAAUUCCACAUUAUGUUAUCUUCUUAAGAUGCUGUCAACCCUUUCAAGGAAGGUUCCAACUUAUUCUGCUCAAGACAGGCGACAACCCAUCACCGACGUACCCAUCCGCACAGCAUUGGCGGCGUGGUGGCUACUGAUGCACUCAUUUGAUUUGAUCAUCACAUAUCAGCUUGGCUGCUCCAUACUCCACAGUCCCAGCCCCAAGCUACAUCCUACAACCAAAUGGGCGGUGGAACAUGGCUUCACUGAAACAACAAAAAUUGACGCAACUGCCUCAAAAUUAGAACAAUCCAAACCAUGAAUUUGUGUUGCUUCUAUCCCUAAUGCAAGCACCAACAAAUUACUAGCUGCUAUUUGAAUCGAUUCCCUUGCCUUGUUGCUGUCGUGCACGGUGAGAUGCCACUCGCCAUGGCCGUCAUUGAAGGCCUCACUGUUGCGACCUGCUGGACCAGUGGUCCCACGCCAUGAGCUUGCCCUCGUCGAUGGCUGGCGUAGUGCAUCCCGGCAACAGGCAGCUGAAAGGGACGUGAUCUAGCAAGCCGAAAUGGCCCUCAUGGGAGCUCACCUGCCGUCGGCUGACUAAGUGACUAGAGAAGUGCGUCGCAGCGCAAAUCGGCUGUUGCUGCUGAACUCUAAAAAAUUGCAAAAAUUGCAGGGGCUAAAAUUGCAAGAAAGGACUGAAGGGACCAGGGGCUAAAAACAACAAGCUAAAUGAGAUUGAGCAGGCGAUGAUUAUUAGACUUUCUGUUGCUUGAUGAGCCUGAUGCGUGAUUGCGGGCCGGAGGCGGAGGGGAGGAGAAGGGAGGAAAGUGGGCUGGCUCGGUUGCAGGCUGAGGAAAGAAACGGGCUUAAAAUGGCUCAGAGAGAAAGGAGGGUUUAUAUUUAGAUUUUUAUUUAAAUAAAUACUGAAAUGAUGUUUGUAUUACUAAAAUUAUCAAUUGAACUAUGAAAAUUUCGAAAAUAAUUUAGAUAGCGUAAUUAAUCAUGGAGAAUUUAACAAAAUUUAAAUCCAGCCUGAUUUUAUUUGGCAAAUUUUAUUCCCCACAUUUACUUCACUGGUACAUUAACUGAACUUUAGUAUAAAUUCUAGAAAUAAUUUAUUAAACAAUUUAUAAAUCCUAGAAACGAACAUUAGGCACUAGGGUGUGACAGUUCAUCCCGUUCUCGAUUUGGAUUAGGACGAUACAUACGUAUGCCCAUGUCCCCCACAAGAAUCGUGCAUCAUUCAAAUUUUUGUUGUCGCUGCUCAUCAAAAUAGAGAUCAAAUUCAAUGAAAAUGCCUCGAUGAAAACACGUUCGAGAGAUAUAUGUGUAAUUGCGAUUUCAUUUGUAGCGGGGAUGAAAUAGAAGGAAGAUGGUGAAAUUUGUAUUUUAAUUAAUUACAAAAUGUAAAUCUCUCAGCUUUUUCUCAAUUUUCUCGUAUUUUCUUCCCGUUGCAACGCACGAGCACUUUUUCUAGUGUAUAUACUGUGCAUACAUACAUAUAAACUUUGUAUACACAUUCACAAAGUUUAUUCAUAUAUACCAUAACCCUAUAAAUACGUGGUGGAGGACUCCGCGUGGUGUGUGAUCAUCGGCUGCACAUCGCCGGACACGACAUUUUACAACCUCUGCCUUCACCAGUUCAGCGUCACAGCCUCAAGCCGCGUGCUAGGCACCAGCAACGACUUCCUGGAGCGCCUCGCGCGUAUCAUCCCAACCCCAAGUGAGCUGGCACGAUCGUGCUAUGCAGAUGCCAAGGCCACGCUGAGCAGUGAUCCCCUUCAGCUGGUCCUCUGUUGUGUCCCCUGGAGCCUCUGCCUCGAAUCGGACAAGGAAGAUAGUAUCAUGCGAACGGAAAUUGCAAGGCCCACGGUAGUUCAGAUGCUCGACCUCUUCAACAAGAACAAGUCCCUGAUGCCCGAUCUGCCAGGUCCUUGGGCACCUCACUGGCCAGUAUCAGCGGCAAGCGACAUUUGGGUACUAUACCUGGCAUGAUGCCCGGAAAAGAAUGGUCAGUCAUACCAAGUGAUGCGCCGUUAUGACAAGCUCACUGAUGAAUGGGUGGACGUCGACAGAGUCGACUUGUGCCAUGAUGGCCCCUGGACUAUGGUAGAACCAGGACGUGGCGUUUUUGGUGGUUGUUUUAUCACUGGUCAAGUUUCAAUUCUUCAGGGUUAUGUGGUCAUUGGGGACCUAAUACUAGUAUCAGUAGGAAGGACACAAUUUUUCUGUUUCAAUUGCUCGACUUGUAGUUGGAACUAGGUGACCAUCACUGGCGAUAGUUCUCACUAUAUCCUUUUCUAUGGUAGAGCAGUUUAUGUGGAGGAGGAUGACACGAUCUAUUUCUCGCGGGGUUGCUCUCUUGUUGCUUACAAGUUCCUGCGAGAAGAGAUGCAACUGAAGCCACCAGUCAAGAUCGGAGAGAAGCUCUUUCCUUAUGGCGAUGAUGGGAGUAGUUUCGUUGCCCGCCUCAAUGACCGCAUUUUGUGCGUUGUCUGGGUUAGUAUGAGGCUUGCAUGCGGAUGCACUAACCGUCACAUGCUUGUUGCCACUGUUUGUGUGACUGGUGAGAGCCACUGUAGCCAAGAUUCCGUCCCCCUGGGUUGUAAAGUGUUGCACUACACUUGCCGCAAGAUACAAAUGGUGGGAAGGGAUGAAUGCUCUGGUAGUUUUGACAAUUUCUGCUUCUUACAUGAAGUAAUUUACUACUCUGCUUUGAACACAUCUGAUCAAACAUAGCAUUUUUCAAUUUGUGAUUUUUAGAAAAAAAAUAUUUCUAAUAUUACUCAGUAUAGCUAGAACUUACUGAUCAAGAUUUUGAAUCUGUUAGUAUUAUUCUUAUGUUAUAUCUUAAUUAGAGAGUACCGGGAGGAGAAGUCUCAGCAUCUAGAAGAACAUCUAGUGUUGGAAGAAGGGGUGGAUACUGUAGAGCCAUCUGCAUUGCUUCCUUGUUGCAGGAAAUUCUUAAAAUGACAUGAGAAAAAUUCAAGCAAAGGGAACUAGAACUCCGGUAGUUACAGUUACUCUGCCACAAUUAGCAAGGUGGACAUCAAAAUACCGGACAGUACCUUGCCACACCAAAUCAGGAGCAAGUGAUUGGAGAAAUAUGAAGCAUUUUCUUAGAAGUUAAUGUUAUAUAGUGCCUAGUACUUCUUUAGUUACCUGCAUGCUAUUCGAAGUACAGCUCCUGUUAGGAAGACCUAUGACGACUUGCACAUUUGUGUGCCUACUUGGGUUUUGGUUGUUGCCAAUGUACCCUACUGGCACAUCUCUGUCUGAUUC
Non-coding RNA from Oryza sativa Japonica Group (Japanese rice), 3620 nucleotides. The record is from RefSeq and is a predicted model, not a curated record. NCBI's taxonomy places the organism in Eukaryota, Viridiplantae, Streptophyta, Magnoliopsida, Poales, Poaceae.